GAUGAACGCUGGCGGCGUGCCUAAUACAUGCAAGUCGAGCGAACAGACGAGGAGCUUGCUUUUCUGACGUUAGCGGCAGACGGGUGAGUAACACGUGGAUAACCUACCUAUAAGACUGGGAUAACUUCGGGAACCCGGAGCUAAUACCGGAUAAUAUUUUGAACCGCAUGGUUCAUAAGUGAAAGACGGUCUUGCUGUCACUUCUAGAUGGAUCCGCGCUGCAUUAGCUAGUUGGUAAGGUAACGGCUUACCAAGGCAACGAUGCAUAGCCGACCUGAGAGGGUGAUCGGCCACACUGGAACUGAGACACGGUCCAGACUCCUAAGGGAGGCAGCAGUAGGGAAUCUUCCGCAAAGGGCGAAAGCCUGACGGAGCAACGCCGCGUGAGUGAUGAAGGUCUUCGGAUCGUAAAACUCUGUUAUUAGGGAAGAACAAAUGUGUAAGUAACUGUGCACAUCUUGACGGUACCUAAUCAGAAAGCCACGGCUAACUACGUG
RNAcentral lists this ribosomal RNA (497 nucleotides) under uncultured bacterium. RNAcentral describes it as "partial 16S ribosomal RNA". It matches the Rfam family "Bacterial small subunit ribosomal RNA", at positions 28 to 507 of the family's 1533-position model. The record is from RNAcentral.